GCCCCCAUAGCCCAAUUGGCAGAGGCAGCGGACUUAAAAUCCGCUCAGUCCGGGUUCGAGUCCCGGUGGGGGCA
Molecule: transfer RNA, 74 nt
Filed under: Rhodococcus spelaei
Lineage: Bacteria; Bacillati; Actinomycetota; Actinomycetes; Mycobacteriales; Nocardiaceae
Rfam family: tRNA
About the family: Transfer RNA (tRNA) molecules are approximately 80 nucleotides in length. Their secondary structure includes four short double-helical elements and three loops (D, anti-codon, and T loops).
Source: Rfam by way of RNAcentral